RNAcentral lists this ribosomal RNA (492 nucleotides) under uncultured bacterium. RNAcentral describes it as "partial 16S ribosomal RNA". It matches the Rfam family "Bacterial small subunit ribosomal RNA", at positions 29 to 507 of the family's 1533-position model. The record is from RNAcentral.
AGUGAACGCUGGCGGUAGGCCUAACACAUGCAAGUCGAACGGCAGCACAGUAAGAGCUUGCUCUUACGGGUGGCGAGUGGCGGACGGGUGAGGAAUACAUCGGAAUCUACUUUUUCGUGGGGGAUAACGUAGGGAAACUUACGCUAAUACCGCAUACGACCUACGGGUGAAAGCAGGGGAUCUUCGGACCUUGCGCGAUUGAAUGAGACGAUGUCGGAUUAGCUAGUUGGCGGGGUAAAGGCCCACCAAGGCGACGAUCCGUAGCUGGUCUGAGAGGAUGAUGAGCCACACUGGAACUGAGACACGGUCCAGACUCCUACGGGAGGCAGCAGUGGGGAAUAUUGGACAAUGGGCGCAAGCCUGAUCCAGCCAUACCGCGUGGGUGAAGAAGGCCUUCGGGUUGUAAAGCCCUUUUGUUGGGAAAGAAAAGCAGCAGGUUAAUACCCCGCUGUUCUGACGGUACCCAAAGAAUAAGCACCGGCUAACUUCGUG